This 269-nucleotide ribosomal RNA is filed under the name uncultured prokaryote. Its description in RNAcentral is "partial 16S ribosomal RNA". It matches the Rfam family "Bacterial small subunit ribosomal RNA", at positions 524 to 792 of the family's 1533-position model. The record is from RNAcentral.
UACGGAGGAUCCAAGCGUUAUCCGGAAUCAUUGGGUUUAAAGGGUCCGUAGGCGGGUUUAUAAGUCAGUGGUGAAAGUUUGCGGCUCAACCGUAAAAUUGCCAUUGAUACUGUAGAUCUUGAAUUAGUGUGAAGUGGUUAGAAUGUGUAGUGUAGCGGUGAAAUGCAUAGAUAUUACACAGAAUACCAAUUGCGAAGGCAGAUCACUAACACUAUAUUGACGCUGAGGGACGAAAGCGUGGGGAGCGAACAGGAUUAGAUACCCCCGUA